GAUACCUUGGCUGAGUGGUAAAAGCGGCGGUCUUGAAAUCCGUUUCCUUUGAGGAGUGAGAGUUCGAUUCUCUCAGGUAUCG
This is a transfer RNA of Tetrahymena thermophila SB210, 82 nucleotides long. It matches the Rfam family "tRNA". Rfam says of the family: Transfer RNA (tRNA) molecules are approximately 80 nucleotides in length. Their secondary structure includes four short double-helical elements and three loops (D, anti-codon, and T loops). Lineage: Eukaryota; Ciliophora; Oligohymenophorea; Hymenostomatida; Tetrahymenidae. The record is from Rfam.